RNAcentral lists this long non-coding RNA (2651 nucleotides) under Eucalyptus grandis. Its description in RNAcentral is "long non-coding RNA (EGRA_LNC001998)". Lineage: Eukaryota; Viridiplantae; Streptophyta; Magnoliopsida; Myrtales; Myrtaceae. The record is from RNAcentral.
GCUUCUAGAAUAGUGCAUGGGAGGCCUAUUGUGAGCCAAGUAAAUUAUGCAUGGCUAAGAGUGGUUUGUGAGAGAUAUUUGGUAAAAUAUCAUGCCAAAGGGCCCCCACCUCUUCCUCAUCCUCUUCCCCAAGCUGCCGUGGAUUACUUCUCCUCUCUCUCCCUCUCACUUCGUGCGAGACUCUCUCCAUUUCGCACGCAACAGCAACCCAGGAGCCAGCGGAAGACGAAGACCAGCUGCUGCCCAUCUACCGAAUUCCCCUCAUCCUCGCCACUUGUCCAUCAACCAGCAUCUCUCGGUCAACACCUGCAAGAACGAAGCCGUUGGUUGACCGUUUGAAGCCACUCCUCCGUCCGCCAGCGAAGCCAUCUCACUUGCAGCUCGCCUUGCUCCACUUUCAUUCGGUCCACUGCAGCAUCUCCACCCUGCAGCAACGUCUCUCGAAGAUCCAGCGCAUGCCAGCUGCUCCUCCAGUCAACUUCUUCUCCACCGAGAUCCCUGCAAGCUGCCAAGCGUCUUCCACUUCUCCGGUCAAAUUUUCCUUAAAUUUUCCUGCCGUUGAAACCCACCGAAAUCCCACCAUCGUUCCUCUCUCUUCUGCCACGAAUCAAACCCCACCGAGAUUCCAUCCUGUUGACUACAGAAGCCUCAUCAUCCGAAGACCAAAGCGGUUCGUCCGCUUCUUCCACGCAGGCCACGAAGUUCUGCCCAGUAGCGACAAAACGCUGCAGCUUCUUGGUCAGAUUGUUGACUGCAAUUUCCACGCUUGAUUUCCCACGACGCUACCUGGCCCAACGUCUGCGAGCAGCUUCGUCUUCGCUGCUUCGUGCGUCUCCAGCCACGCCAUCCAGAGAAGCCAAGAUCUUCGCAGCAUCAAUUGAAGCCGCGCGCCAGCGAAGCCCAGUCCACCGAUCCUUCAGGCAAUUUCCAGCCCAGCAUCAAUUGGAUUGGAAGCCCAGUAAUUUCAGUCUUUUGGGCCCAGCAAAGACAGGCCCAAUUCAGUUUUAUUUCAAGCCCAUUUUCAGCAAUUGUAGUCUUCAAGCCCCGUUUUUGAAGCCCAAUCGCAGCCAGGCCCAAGUCCAAGAGCAAGCCCAUUCCAGUGCAAGAACAAAUCUCAAUUGGGCUGAGAUUUGUUGGGCCAAGUUCAAGGCCCGGUCCAGGUCCGCCGAUAUUGUCGAGAGUUCGAAUUCGGCUGCCGUCGCGUCGCCGUUGUGGUGAUUCGAUCCCCGCUUUUGAUCAAGUGAGUUUUACUCACUAAUGCUUUAUUAGUUUGCUAAUUAUGCUUAAGGUUGGUUAGAUUUAAUUACAUGCACAUAGGUGGUUAGAUUAGGUUAGAACAAUUAGUUUAGUGACUUAAUGAUGCAUGUUAGGUGGUUAGACCUAGCUAUUAGCAAGUAGAAAUGUUUGGUUAUUUAUUGAAUGUAUCUCGGGAUUUUUCCCGACCCGUUUCGGGCUCCAAUAAGGCAAUAUGAGCCUAAAUUGGAUUUUCAAUGUUUAUUUAUUUAUUUUCGAAAUUCAUUUAUUUAAUUAAUUAUUUUUCCGGAAAUUCAACCGGGAUGGCCGGUGACCGGAAUUUCGUGCUGAUUGUCGUGGUGAAGCUCGUUUAUUCAUUUGAGCUCUACGUUGUGUGGAAUUGAAUUAAUUGUGAAAUUUGAGGAUUUAUCCUUAAAUGUUUGUUAUUGAGUAUUUGAUUGGUAAUGGCCGAGCAUGAGUAUAUAGCGCCAGUACGUUGAUGGGCUAUAUAGUAAGGAGAAUGGUGAGACCAAUCAGGUACGAUAUGAUUGGACAUACGUGGUUCGGUGAUUGGAAGUAUCACUGGCGAAAACGGCGCCUUAAAGAACGCACGUGAAUGACUUAUAGACAAACGUGGUUCGGUGAUUAUGGGAAUAUCACUGGUGAAAACGGCGCCUUAAAGAACGCACGAUGUUGUCUAUAGCCGAUGUCACCUUGGCGAAAACGGCGCCCUUGAAAGGACACGUGGUUCGGUGAUCAAGUUAUCACUGGUGAAAACGGCGCCUUAAAGAACGCACGGUGUCGGUGAUCGGUAUGUCAUUGGCGAAAACNNNNNNNNNNNNNNNNNNNNNNNNNNNNNNNNNNNNNNNNNNNNNNNNNNNNNNNNNNNNNNNNNNNNNNNNNNNNNNNNNNNNNNNNNNNNNNNNNNNNCCACUGAGAAAGCGUGGUAUGAGUGGGAAUGACCUAGAGAUGGUCAGAUUGACAUGUAAUCGACUAAGUCGAUUGAUCAAUGCUUGAUCGGAUGUCGUGAAUUGUUUGAAUGUAUGUGUUUAACCUUGAAUUGCAGGUUGGAACUGAGGCUAAGGUAAGUCCUCUGACUCGUGUUGUGCUUAGGCAACCGGAUGGUGUAUUAGUUUACUAAUCGAGUCGUAGGGGGUAGGACUCGCUGAGACGUGGUCUCAUUGGUUAUUGAAUAACCAUUUCAGGACCCUGAGGAAAAGCUGAGGAGGAAGAACCUGAAGGGGAGAAAGUAUUUUGAAGUAGAAGAUGAUCCAGAGAGGGAUCUUGAAUAUGACCCGGAUGUGGACUGAGAUCCCAUCCCUUUUGUAAAUCCUGUCUUAGCAGAGAUAGGUGUGAGACAAGUAUGUUGUGAAUAGUAUUGUAAUUAUACUAUGAGUUGUGUUGUUAAUGAAAGUGUG